UUUUCAGUGUCGCAGCAAAAGCGUUAAGCACACCGCCUGGGGAGUACGACCGCAAGGUUAAAACUCAAAUGAAUUGACGGGGACCCGCACAAGUAGUGGAGCAUGUGGUUUAAUUCGAAGAUACGCGCAGAACCUUACCAACACUUGACAUGUUCGUCGCGACUCUAAGAGAUUAGAGUUUUCGGUUCGGCCGGACGAAACACAGGUGCUGCAUGGCUGUCGUCAGCUCGUGUCGUGAGAUGUUGGGUUAAGUCCCGCAACGAGCGCAACCCUUACUUUUAGUUGCUACCAUUCAGUUGGGCACUCUAAAAGAACUGCCAGUGAUAAGCUGGAGGAAGGUGGGGAUGACGUCAAGUCCUCAUGGCCCUUAUGUGUUGGGCUACACACGUGCUACAAUGGUAUUUACAGUGGGAUGCAAAGAGGCGACUCCAAGCAAACCCUCAAAAAGUACCUCAGUUCGGAUUGUACUCUGCAACUCGAGUACAUGAAGCUGGAAUUACUAGUAAUCGCGGAUCAGCGCGCCGCGGUGAAUACGUUCCCGGGUCUUGUACACACCGCCCGUCACACCAUGGAAGUUGGUUACACCUUAAGGCAAAGUGUAAAACCUUUGACUACGGUACGAUCAGCGACUGGGGUGAAGUCGUAACAAGGUAGCCGUAGGGGAACCUGCGGCUGGAUCACCUCCUU
This 687-nucleotide ribosomal RNA is filed under the name uncultured marine alpha proteobacterium. RNAcentral's name for it is "bacterial SSU rRNA". It matches the Rfam family "Bacterial small subunit ribosomal RNA", at positions 837 to 1532 of the family's 1533-position model. The record is from RNAcentral. Lineage: Bacteria; Pseudomonadati; Pseudomonadota; Alphaproteobacteria.